This is an RNA transcript of Cataglyphis hispanica, 2519 nucleotides long. It is a transcript of the gene named leucine-rich melanocyte differentiation-associated protein-like, with no coding region annotated. Lineage: Eukaryota; Metazoa; Arthropoda; Insecta; Hymenoptera; Formicidae. The transcript is spliced from 5 exons. The record is from RefSeq and is a predicted model, not a curated record.
GGGAUAUCGAAUUUUAUUAUGCUAACAAUAUACAUACAUAUGUGUAUAUACGCACAAGGUUUAUCUAUGCAUUAACGGCGCGAUAAUACACUCUGUCUCUCUAUUUGCGUGGGGCAAUGUGCCCACAUAACGCGCAACAUGGCGGGUUUCAGUCAGCAAGACUUCAACAGGAGUGCGUUGACGCUCGAUAAUGGACGGGCUUGGUACACCGGGCAGAAAGCAGAAAAGAUUCCCAAUGGAUUGGUGGGAGUCGUCGGUCACAAUUGUCUCGGCUUGGAUCUCUCGUUCAACGAACUGACCACCGUUUCCGGUGUAAAGGAUUUCGAGCAACUUCAAGAAUUGAUUCUGGACAAUAACAAACUCAAAGAUCUCAAAACGCUGCCGUGUAUUUCGACUUUGACUACGUUGAGUCUGAACAACAAUAAGAUCUCCAACAUUGACAGAGCUCUAGAACGGAUACGAGAGUGCUGUCCUAAUAUAGAAUACGUGAGUCUCUUGGGAAAUCCCGGCUGUCCCGAUCAGCUCACCAACCCAACGUCCACCGACGAAGACGAUUAUGAGCGUUACAGGCUUUACGCCAUCCAUACUUUACCUCCGACUCUUCGUUUCCUGGACUCACGAAGAGUCACUCAUCAGGAGAGACUGAACGCUAAGGAUCGUGGCAGGUACUCCAGGACGAUCAAGCUCGUUCCGGAGCUGGUACAUAAGUUCGUACCUAAUUCGACGCACACCGACAACGAGUUCGAUGACAUAUACUUCAACAUCCAUUACACACCCUUGCCAAACUCGCUACGUGCUCCUCAGGAUCACAAGGGCGCAUAUGGCAAGUGCAAGUAUCGAUACUCUGGCAAGAAUUCGGAGGGCAAUCGAUUCAUCUCGAAUAACGAUCUCUAAUUGAGAAAGAAUUGCACGAAUAUAUUUUUAAAUGUGACGUUAAAAUAUCGAGACGAUUCUCCUAAUCAGAUAAACUUCUUCGAUGGUAACAUUUCAUGCUCUUUCUCGAAUAACGUGCUCAAUUUGCGUUUAUAAAGGCGCUUACUCGCAAUUAAUAAAUCACACGAAGCGUAUACGAGUAAACGUAUAAAAUUUUUAUUAUCAUAUACACACCGACGAACGACAUAUAAAUAAAUGUCUGAUUCUCUAACAUAAGUUUUUAACAUUACAUUCCGUAAUAUUAAGUACUCUAAGUGGACUAACAUAUCGUAGAGUAACUUGGGGAUUUUAUCGAGAUAGAAAACGUAACGGGUUAUCGUAAAUUCUUCGAGUUUCUAUUGCUAUUGGUCCGUAAAUGCUAGACGUACAAUUAUCGCAACGACACUAAAUUUAGUAUCUCGAGAAUAUCGAAAUCUUAUGUAUAUAUAUAUAUAUAUAUAUAUAUAUAUAUAUAUAUAUAUUUCUCAGAGAAUUUGUGUUAGUUUUAAAUCUACCACACAAAUAUUGGUCCUGCAAAAAAUAGCUGAAUUAGAAAUUUAUAUAAGAAAUUUAAUUUACUUACAUUAUAAAUUCCUUACAUUCCCUCCAUCAUGUUUGGCUUUAUAAUUCCUAUCUUUUGUUAUUUUUAAAUUUUUCUAUUUAAAUCUCAUAAGAGAUAAAUCAAAGAAAUCGUUUUCUUCUCGAGUCACAUAUUUAAACUAAAAAUUUCCUAUUUGAAAUAUACCUUACUUAACAAUAUAAUUUACGCUAGAAAUUGACAGACAUAAUCAAUAUAUAUCUAAGUUAAACUUUUUUUAUUCAUCUAUUUUUUUGCUUACGCACAUCACUUGAAUCCCUACGUAAUGUUAAAGGCAGUUUUAUAUAGUUUCCUUUCGUUAAAACCCUGUUUCUAGGAAGAGAGAAAGUCUUUUAUAGCUAACAAUACGCAACAACUUACGAUGUCACACUCACAAAUAUAAUCGAAGGUAUAAGAAAACAAUUAAGUACGAAUAUACGUCAGUUCGAUCCUUCGAUUUAUGAUGGAACAUUCGAUACGUAUUUAUAACGCUUCAGCAUUUAACGCUAAUUGUGACUGAAAUUAUCGAAUGUUAUUUAAUACAGAUAUCGAAUCUCACAAAACAUUUAACGCUAAAUACAUACAGAGGGAUUAAAAAAAAUGGAUCAUUCAACGCAUUUAACGUAAUCAUGAAUUCGAGCUUGUUACGGUCAUUUUGAAAUUACCGGAAGAAAACUUCAUUUUUACAUACGUACGUAUAUAUGAAUGGCGAAUUUCCUUUAUAUACGUAUAUGUAUAUUUAAAUAUAUCUAUGAGAAUGUGUAUUCGCGUUCAAAUUGUGAAAAGGGAAGCGGUCAUAUUUAAAUGUCUUAAAUACACCGUUCCUUCGCUCACUCGCUCCAGAGACUCACUCAUUUCUAUUGUACCUAUUUGCUGGAAGCAUCUUUCUUUCCAAGAAAGGAAAGUGUCCACAAAAUUCAAAACGCUGAAUUCUUUACUUAUAAGUCUCGAAUAAUUUACUCGGCAGAUAAAAGGCAAAUGGACGAAAGAAAUGUAUUCUAUUUUUAUAAAAUUCUUGGAUUCUCCAUUA